GUUUAAAUAGUUUAAUAAAAAAAUAUUGAUUUGUGGUGUCAAUGAUGUAGCCAUACUUUAAAUC
RNAcentral lists this transfer RNA (64 nucleotides) under Chloronia mirifica. RNAcentral's name for it is "tRNA-His". The record is from RNAcentral. Lineage: Eukaryota; Metazoa; Arthropoda; Insecta; Megaloptera; Corydalidae.